GUUCAGCACAGCCUCGGUGUCCGGCUGCUGCAGUCGGAGCCCGUCUGCCGACCCAGGCGGCGGGAAGCUCUUGAGGAAGCUCAUCGCCGGCGAAAGCAUCGCCCCACGCGAACCGAGAGAAGUCGUAGCAGCAAACCCCGAGAGAGGAUGUAUAAGGAAUACCAAGCCUUUCCCAGCAAAAAGCGGGAAGGGGCCCAGGCCCCGGGAGUCCCUCACUGAAGGACGACUCACAGAAAUAAAAUCCACACGCAUCUGGAGAUCAGCAGUCUCCGGGCUGGGUGCACGAGUCUUCCCUGCUUCCGCCUCGUCAGGCCUGUUCACCUUGGGUUCACACAGCCAUUUACCAGACCUUUUAGUCCCCACGUCGCCGGAGAGACCUUUUAGUCCCCACGUCGCCGGAGAGAUCGAGCGUCCCAUCCCCACGAGUCACGCCGCGAGCACAAAAGGUUACAUUAAUGAUGGGCAGUGCGCAGCAAGACAGUCAAAAGACUGUCCGAGGGAAAGGUAGGCCACUGGUUAGGAACCCUUGCUGUCUCUGCUCGCAAGGUCCCAGCGAAUAAGAGCAGUGAAAACCUACAGGUUUGGUGAAUAGAAACCCAUAACAGAGACCUAUAGACCACACAGCAUAAGGACUUUACCUCUUUUCUUCAUGGAUUCAUUCCUUCAUGGUUUUUGAGACAGGGCUUCUUUAUGUAGCCUAGGCUGGCUUCCAAUACAUAAUCGAUUUGCACCG
RNAcentral lists this long non-coding RNA (733 nucleotides) under Mus pahari (shrew mouse). RNAcentral's name for it is "lncRNA (MGP_PahariEiJ_G0002190.1)". The record is from RNAcentral. Lineage: Eukaryota; Metazoa; Chordata; Mammalia; Rodentia; Muridae.